UCAGGAUAUGGUGGUUUAGUUGUCAGUUAUGUUGUUAGUCAGUUGUAGAAGCCAUCGCUCCACUAGGCUCGAUUUCAGAUGUAACAUGUCCGAGGAUCUGUGCAUCGUCCUCUGCACUUGCCGUAGCAAAAAAAAAUCGAGAACACUUUUCUGGGAUUUAUCCAUCUUGUUUUAUUACAUGAACUAAAUUAUCCUUAAUAAAAGACCAAGC
Molecule: long non-coding RNA, 211 nt
Filed under: Mytilus galloprovincialis (Mediterranean mussel)
Lineage: Eukaryota; Metazoa; Mollusca; Bivalvia; Mytilida; Mytilidae
Source: RNAcentral